GACGAACGCUGGCGGCGUGCCUAAUACAUGCAAGUCGAACGCUUCUUUCCUCCCGAGUGCUUGCACUCAAUUGGAAAGAGGAGGGGCGGACGGGGGAGUAACACGUGGGUAACCUACCCAUCAGAGGGGGAUAACACUUGGAAACAGGUGCUAAUACCGCAUAACAGUUUAUGCCGCAUGGCAUAAGAGUGAAAGGCGCUUUCGGGUGUCGCUGAUGGAUGGACCCGCGGUGCAUUAGCUAGUUGGUGAGGUAACGGCUCACCAAGGCCACGAUGCAUAGCCGACCUGAGAGGGUGAUCGGCCACACUGGGACUGAGACACGGCCCAGACUCCUACGGGAGGCAGCAGUAGGGAAUCUUCGGCAAUGGACGAAAGCCUGCCCGAGCAACGCCGCGUGAGUGAAGAAGGUUUUCGGAUCGUAAAACUCUGUUGUUAGAGAAGAACAAGGACGUUAGUAACUGAACGUCCCCUGACGGUAUCUAACCAGAAAGCCACGGCUAACUACGUG
RNAcentral lists this ribosomal RNA (508 nucleotides) under uncultured bacterium. RNAcentral describes it as "partial 16S ribosomal RNA". It matches the Rfam family "Bacterial small subunit ribosomal RNA", at positions 28 to 507 of the family's 1533-position model. The record is from RNAcentral.